AGAGUUUGAUCCUGGCUCAGGAUGAACGCUAGCGGCAGGCUUAACACAUGCAAGUCGAGGGGCAGCGGGGAGGAAGCUUGCUUUCUCCGCCGGCGACCGGCGCACGGGUGAGUAACACGUAUGCAACCUGCCCCUGUCAGGGGGACAACCCGCCGAAAGGCGGGCUAAACCCGCGUACAUGCCACCGGGGCAUCCCGGAGGCAGGAAAGGCUUCGGCCGGACAGGGAUGGGCAUGCGGCGCAUUAGGCAGUAGGCGGGGUAACGGCCCACCUAACCGACGAUGCGUAGGGGUUCUGAGAGGAAGGUCCCCCACACUGGUACUGAGACACGGACCAGACUCCUACGGGAGGCAGCAGUGAGGAAUAUUGGUCAAUGGUCGGGAGACUGAACCAGCCAAGCCGCGUGAGGGAGGAAGGUACAGAGUAUCGUAAACCUCUUUUGUCAGGGAACAAAGGCGGGGACGUGUCCCCGGAUGAGUGUACCUGAAGAAAAAGCAUCGGCUAACUCCGUGCCAGCAGCCGCGGUAAUACGGAGGAUGCGAGCGUUAUCCGGAUUUAUUGGGUUUAAAGGGUGCGCAGGCGGUCUGUUAAGUCAGCGGUCAAAGCCCGGGGCUCAACCCCGGCCCGCCGUUGAAACUGGCAGUCUCGAGUUGGAGAGAAGUAUGCGGAAUGCGCGGUGUAGCGGUGAAAUGCAUAGAUAUCGCGCAGAACUCCGAUUGCGAAGGCAGCAUGCCGGCUCCACACUGACGCUGAGGCACGAAAGCGUGGGUAUCGAACAGGAUUAGAUACCCUGGUAGUCCACGCAGUAAACGAUGAAUGCUGGCUGUCCGGGGGGACUGACCCCUGGGUGGCGAAGCGAAAGCGAUAAGCAUUCCACCUGGGGAGUACGCCGGCAACGGUGAAACUCAAAGGAAUUGACGGGGGCCCGCACAAGCGGAGGAACAUGUGGUUUAAUUCGAUGAUACGCGAGGAACCUUACCCGGGCUCAAACGGGGAGUGACUCAGGCAGAGACGCCUGUUUCCCACGGGACACUCCCCGAGGUGCUGCAUGGUUGUCGUCAGCUCGUGCCGUGAGGUGUCGGCUUAAGUGCCAUAACGAGCGCAACCCCCGCGUGCAGUUGCUAACAGAUAACGCUGAGGACUCUGCACGGACUGCCGGCGCAAGCCGCGAGGAAGGCGGGGAUGACGUCAAAUCAGCACGGCCCUUACGUCCGGGGCGACACACGUGUUACAAUGGGUGGUACAGCGGGAAGCCAGGCGGCGACGCCGAGCGGAACCCGAAAUCCACUCUCAGUUCGGAUCGGAGUCUGCAACCCGACUCCGUGAAGCUGGAUUCGCUAGUAAUCGCGCAUCAGCCAUGGCGCGGUGAAUACGUUCCCGGGCCUUGUACUCACCGCCCGUCA
This 1402-nucleotide ribosomal RNA is filed under the name uncultured bacterium. RNAcentral describes it as "16S ribosomal RNA". It matches the Rfam family "Bacterial small subunit ribosomal RNA". The record is from RNAcentral.